This 1032-nucleotide long non-coding RNA is filed under the name Ursus americanus (American black bear). RNAcentral describes it as "lncRNA (ENSUAMG00000008964.1)". Lineage: Eukaryota; Metazoa; Chordata; Mammalia; Carnivora; Ursidae. The record is from RNAcentral.
CUCAUGUCAUAUGUGUGUGUGAAGAAGGGAGGGGCGGAGACAGGUUGGUGAAUAAGACAAAAGCUUUCCUCUUUCCCAAAGAUAUGGAAGACAUUUUCCAGAAACUGCACAGAAUUGAGAUGUAAAGGUUGUAAAGGAGACUGGGCUGUCUUCGGUCUUGUGUGUCCUUUUAAGAGCAAGGAAAAUCUCAUAAUUCUACCCCCAUCCCCAUUCCCAGCAGGCUUUCAUGACUCUUCAGCUUGAAAAACAUGACAUAUCCGUGCCAAGAACCAUCAGAGCAUAGGUGAUGGGAUUACCACGAUUGGCUAAGACUUACGAAGAUUCACGACCUGGGAUACAGAAUCUGUGAGCUGGCUGGAUGGCGAGAAUCUGAGCAAAAGCAGCCAGCAGGGAAAAAAUAGGACAGCUGAGCUCCUUGGGGCAGACAGGGCAGAGGUCUGUGUAGCAAUGAGCAGGUUCUGCCCCACUGGACAAGAAACGGAGACAUCUAGGACACUCUUCCCUGAGAUACUGCCGAUCCAUGGGAUGACUUCAGAAACUGGUGAGGCCGCCUCCAGCUUCUCCAGGCUCUCCAUUCAUCUGGCGCCCAGGGAAUGCCCCAUCGGGGUACCCCGGGACAGACCCACGGUCCUUGCAUUGUGCCCCGGAGGCUCAUCGCGAUGGUUCCUGCCAUGUCCCCGAGAUGCAAUGCUCUCUCCCGGGAGCCACGUGGUGAGAGGCAGCCACGUGUGGGAACAAGAUCUCUGCACAUCUCGAUCUACAGCCAAAUGGGGAGGCAGGGGGACUCCAUGAAAAAAGAGCAUGCAAACUGUAGUCACUUGGCGUCUGCCUCUUGCUGGGUGUGGGGUUUUGUGCAAGCAACCUGACCUCUCGAAAUGUCCACUCCUUAUCUGUAAAAUAGGGAUGAUUUUGGCCACAGCUACCCACUGUGCUGUCUUGAGGAUCAUGGGGAAUGGUGGCUAUGACAACGCUUUAUAAAUUAUUUUUUCAACUCCUUUUUUUAAAAAAAGUAAUCUCUACACCCAAUGUGGG